AUGGAAAGCAAUAACCUUCCGAUAACAAUCUGCUCCCAUGGCACGGCAUCAGCCACAGCCACAGUCACACCGCUGUUAAUCCACCUACUGCGCGGCCUCACCGACCACGCGUCUGUAGCCCCCACCCACGGGAAGCUCCUCAAGGUCGGCACGGCCUCCGCCAUCUCUUCUUGCAACCACAUCAUCGCUGCUUACUGCCGAUGCGGCGCCACCGCCCGCGCCCAGGACAUGUUCGAUGGAAUGGCCGAGCGGGACGUCCUCUCCUGGACAGCUCUCAUGUCCAGGUACUCUAGCACCGGCCGACCCUGCCUGGCGGUUUCCCUCUUUUGUGACAUGUCUCACAGAGGUGUGCCACCAAAUGCCUUCACCUUCUCGACUGCCGUCAGCCGUGCGCACGCCUUGCUGAUGCUGGACUUGGCCGGAAAGUGCAUGCCCGUGCUGAGGUUGAGGGCUACGUGCCUGACACUGUCGUUGCCACCGCGCUCAUUGACAUGCGUUGGGUGGCUUGGGGUUGGCAAGUCUUUGCGUGGAACAGUCCUUCGGUUUGGGCAUGGAUGCAAUGGCGUGAUUGUUGUGGCUUUGGUUGACAUGUACUCCAAGUGUGGACUCUACGAGUACUCAAGAAAGAUGCUCGAGAGGACUGAGCAGCCGUCGGUCUUCUGCUAUACCUCCAUCACUGUGGCAGCAGCGAAGGAGGUCAGAUUAACCUGGUUCAGUCACAGGUUUGGCAUAUCAAUGGAUGGAGCUGGAGCACCGAUGCCAUCGUGGAUGGAACUAUGGAAUGAGUGGGAGAUCCAAACUGUUGUUGUUGCCAGCUUCAGUCUGCAGGUUAUCCUCUUCUUCUUUGCUGGGAUCCGCCGCUACAAUGUCUCAUUUGCUCUCAAGGUCCUCCUCUGGCUGGUAUAUCUGCUUGCUGAUGUCGUUGCGACGUUCGCCCUGGGGCACAUGUCCUCGUCCUUAUCGAGUAAAUCGCCUGGCGAGCACCAGCUGGUGGCUUUCUGGGCGCCGUUCCUGCUGCUGCACCUUGGCGGUCAAGACACCAUCACCGCAUACGCCCUGGAGGACAAUGAACUCUGGCUGCGUCACCUGCUAAACAUGUUUGUGCAGGUCGCCUGUACUGCAUAUGUGCUCUACAAGUACAUCAAUGCGGGCGGGGCAACCUUUGUCCAUGCCGCUAUGUUGGUUCUUGCCGCCGGGGUUUUCAAGUAUGGCGAGAGGAUAUGGGCACUGAAGCUUGCAAGCAAGGGUGGUUCCCGUGAGAAAAGAAGGCGACGACCUAAGAGUUUUCGUCGGAGGAUUGAUGAUAUUCGUCCACACGUGUUGCGCCAUGUACUAGUCAAGCCUCUAAUCAUAGACAGGAAUGAGGCGUCCAUAGACUGGAGAGGUCUGAGAAUUGAUCGACUAUCAGCAGAGGAGAAGUACAAGAAAAUAGAGGUGCAGCUCGCCCUGAUGUACGACAUGCUGUACACCAAGGCAGAAGUGAUCCAUAGAGAUGGGUACAGCACACCCGACAUUGUUAUCACUUUUGCUCUUCUGGGCGGAGCUUGUGCACUGGAGAUGGCAUCAGUUUUCAAGGCGAUUGGGUCGACCUGGACAUGUGCCAGCUUGAGACGCCGCAGGUGGAAGUGGCUGGCCAAUGCGAUUCUGUUCGCACGUUACCACCUCCUCGUCCUAGAGGAUGGAAGGUGGUCUGAUUCCGUCGGGCAAUUUGACUUCAUAUCCUUCUGUGUUCACAGCAGAAAGAUGGACCUCAAGGUUAGCAUAGCCCGUUUGAUUGGGCUCCGGGACUUUUGGAACAAAGCUCACUGCACCAAACAUGUCGAGCUUUCUCCUGGCGUGAAGGAGUUUGUAUGGAACUUGCUCAGAGGUGACAAGACUCAUAUGGUUCGAAUUGAAGAAGUAGACAUCCGGAGUGGGAACUGGGCUCGCAGGUUCAGCGGCGUCGCCCAGAUCAAAAAGCUCGGUUGGAGCCUGAGUUAUGGAUUUCACAAGAGUGUGCUUAUCUGGCAUAUAGCAACAAGCACCUUCAUUAAUCACCCUGCCAACUCGGAGCUGGUCGACAAGGACAUGGCUAAAGCAGUGAAUACUCUCUCUGAUUACAUGAUGUACCUCCUCAUCAAGCACCCUGACAUUCUGCCCAUCAAAGCAGCUGCUAAGGACAUGUUUGAGGAAACCUGCCUCUGUUACGGUUUGACUGUGGUAGGCUCGAACAGACCUAAUGUGGUUGUUGAUUCUCACCAGGUAAUUCUGGACUACAAUAAAGGGAGCAGGCAUCUUAAGGACGAACCAAUACAUGCUAACUUGAUGCAACGUCUUAAGUAUAUGGAAGAACUAUAUGGUGACUUGAUGCAUCCCAGAUGGGAUGAUCACCCGGGGGACGCUGUGCUGGUGAAAGCAUGCACUCUUGUUCACACAAUGCUCAACAUGGAGCUGGAGUUGGGCCUCGCACACAAGAUGGCGAUAAUUGGAACGGUGUGGGUGGAGAUGUUGUGCUACACAGCAACCAAUGCAUCCGGGGGAUUCCACGCCAGGCAGCUGAGCAAUGGUGGCGAGUUUCUGACCCACAUACUGCUCUUCACUAAAUAUUCCAAUCCUACAAAAAAGAAACCAGCAAAGCCGUACAUAAAACCUGAUGAAGCUGUGGAAGCUAGUGCUGAUCGCCAGGUCGUAAUAAAUGUGGAGGAUGAUUGCAACGAUGAGAUCUCCGAAAUCCGCCCAAUAUAG
This 2724-nucleotide ribosomal RNA is filed under the name Triticum aestivum (bread wheat). Its description in RNAcentral is "partial small subunit ribosomal RNA". Lineage: Eukaryota; Viridiplantae; Streptophyta; Magnoliopsida; Poales; Poaceae. The record is from RNAcentral.